Molecule: transfer-messenger RNA, 380 nt
Filed under: Metamycoplasma neophronis
Lineage: Bacteria; Bacillati; Mycoplasmatota; Mycoplasmoidales; Metamycoplasmataceae
Description: Standard tmRNA
Rfam family: transfer-messenger RNA
About the family: Bacterial tmRNA, also known as 10Sa RNA or SsrA, is named for its dual tRNA and mRNA-like properties. Its role is to liberate the mRNA from a stalled ribosome.
Source: RNAcentral
GGGGGUGUACUGGCUUCGACGGGUAUCUGAACUAUUAAGUGGCAGUGGUCUGGUAGACCAUAAUACUUCUAGGCUUUUUUAAGCGCAGAAAACAAAAAACAAGAAGAAGCUUUCUUUAUGCAAAAAGCUUUAUCUUCAAGAAGCCUAUUAUUUGCUUAAUUAAAUAAUAGCCGAACGGCAAGCGGCUCGGUUUGCCAUGGUUCGUUGGAGAGCUUGACAGUAAGCAACUUAGUCUAACUUAUUGUGACAUCUCAGACUAAAAACAUAUUUAGAACUUUGUCAAUUUAAUAUAAAUAAUGUUUAACAUGAAAUUGAAUAAACUGUAGAAACUUAAUAGGAAUGGUGCACGGACCGGGGUUCGAUUCCCCGCAUCUCCACCA